Trichonephila clavipes is the source of this 73-nucleotide non-coding RNA. Lineage: Eukaryota; Metazoa; Arthropoda; Arachnida; Araneae; Nephilidae. The record is from the annotation of a GenBank genome assembly.
GUUCCUGUAGCUCAAUUGAUAGGGCUUUGGACUUCUAAUCCAAAGGUCAUGGGUUCGAACCCCACCUGGGAUG